AAGUCGUAACAAGGUUUCCGUAGGUGAACCUGCGGAAGGAUCAUUAACAAAUUCCAAAACUCGUGUUGGUCUUUGAAGGUGUUAACUUUCUCUUUUUCUCUUUUCUCUCUGAGAAAAAUAGGGUUUAAAAGAGAGAGAGUUAAUAAAGUCAAAGGCCAGCUCUAAAUUACAUUUACAUUUAUUGACAACAAAUGGGAGAACCAAAACAACAUUUAUAAUAGUUGAAACAACUUUUAACAAUGGAUCUCUUGGCUCUU
Molecule: unclassified non-coding RNA, 257 nt
Filed under: fungal sp.
Lineage: Eukaryota; Fungi
Also listed under: 1 other name
Description: partial internal transcribed spacer region
Rfam family: Eukaryotic small subunit ribosomal RNA (bases 1-46)
Source: RNAcentral